This is a non-coding RNA of Oryza barthii, 204 nucleotides long. The record is from Rfam. NCBI's taxonomy places the organism in Eukaryota, Viridiplantae, Streptophyta, Magnoliopsida, Poales, Poaceae.
AAAAAGGCAAACUGUGAGUUCCCAUGCCAAUGUUUGAUUGUCCGUCUUAUAUGAAUUUUUUUUAUAAUUAGCAUUUUCAUUAUUGUUAGAUGAUAAAACAUGAUUAAUACUUUAUACGUGACUUAUCUUUUUAAUUUUUUUAUAUUUUUUUCAAUUAAGACGGACGGUUAAACGUUGCACACGGAAAUCAGGGUUUGUCUUUUU